UUUGGCUGUCCGAGUUGUAAUCUAGAGAAGUGUUAUCCGCGCUGGACCGUGUACAAGUCUCCUGGAAUGGAGCGUCAUAGAGGGUGAGAAUCCCGUCUUUGACACGGACUGCCAGGGCUUUGUGAUGCGCUCUCAAAGAGUCGAGUUGUUUGGGAAUGCAGCUCAAAAUGGGUGGUAAAUUCCAUCUAAAGCUAAAUAUUGGCGAGAGACCGAUAGCGAACAAGUACCGUGAGGGAAAGAUGAAAAGAACUUUGGAAAGAGAGUUAAACAGUACGUGAAAUUGCUGAAAGGGAAACGCUUGAAGUCAGUCGCGUUGGCCGGGGAUCAACCUUGCUUUUGCUUGGCGUACUUCCCGGUUGAUGGGUCAGCAUCAAUUUUGACCGUUGGAUAAAGGUUAGGGGAAUGUGGCAUCUUCGGAUGUGUUAUAGCCCUUGGUCGCAUACAACGGUUGGGAUUGAGGAACUCAGCACGCCGCAAGGCCGGGUAUUUAUACUACGUUCGUGCUUAGGAUGCUGGCAUAAUGGCUUUAAUCGACCCGUCUUGAAACACGGACCAAGGAGUCUAACAUGCCUGCGAGUGUUUGGGUGGAAAACCCGAGCGCGUAAUGAAAGUGAAAGUUGAGAUCCCUGUCGUGGGGAGCAUCGACGCCCGGACCAGACCUUUUGUGACGGAUCCGCGGUAGAGCAUGUAUGUUGGGACCCGAAAGAUGGUGAACUAUGCCUGAAUAGGGUGAAGCCAGAGGAAACUCUGGUGGAGGCUCGUAGCGAUUCUGACGUGCAAAUCGAUCGUCAAAUUUGGGUAUAGGGGCGAAAG
RNAcentral lists this ribosomal RNA (813 nucleotides) under Galerina aff. vittiformis 1 BRL-2018. Its description in RNAcentral is "partial large subunit ribosomal RNA". It matches the Rfam family "Eukaryotic large subunit ribosomal RNA", at positions 129 to 929 of the family's 3401-position model. Lineage: Eukaryota; Fungi; Basidiomycota; Agaricomycetes; Agaricales; Galerinaceae. The record is from RNAcentral.